UCGACCUGAUCAAAGGUCUAUCAUGGUCCCGGCUCUCCCACUCAAAGGCAGCCAGUUCAUGGUCCUGUCUGGUCUACAUAUCUGCAAAAAAUCAUAAGCUGGGCUAAGAUGUCACAGGGAAAAACUGAGGCUGGAAGAUCAAAGGCCCAGCUUUCUGCUGAAGACAGAAACUCAAGAGGGUCCCAAGCCAGUGAGUCAGCAAUGCAGUCACAUUCACAUCCCCAGGAGUCAGGUUGCAAGAGACUAAAUGUGUAACUUCUAUAAUAAAAGGCAGAAGCAG
Molecule: long non-coding RNA, 280 nt
Filed under: Capra hircus (goat)
Lineage: Eukaryota; Metazoa; Chordata; Mammalia; Artiodactyla; Bovidae
Description: lncRNA (ENSCHIG00000005855.1)
Source: RNAcentral